UACCAGCACCCCGAGUGGUCGGGACGUUUAUUGGGCCUAAAGCAUCCGUAGCCGGUUCUACAAGUCUUCCGUUAAAUCCAACUGCUUAACAGGUGGGCUGCGGAAGAUACUAUAGAGCUAGGAGGCGGGAGAGGCAAGCGGUACUCGAUGGGUAGGGGUAAAAUCCGUUGAUCCAUUGAAGACCACCAGUGGCGAAGGCGGCUUGCCAGAACGCGCUCGACGGUGAGGAUGAAAGCUGGGGGAGCAAGCCGG
Molecule: ribosomal RNA, 252 nt
Filed under: uncultured bacterium
Lineage: Bacteria
Description: partial 16S ribosomal RNA
Rfam family: Archaeal small subunit ribosomal RNA
Source: RNAcentral